GCUGAAUAAUUAUUUUAUUGUAUGGUCAGCAGUACGGUGUACAUUUUAGGACAUCGUCAGGUAUCAGAAAAAAAAUUGUCAGGUGUCAGUUGUCAAAAAAAAAAAAAGUCAGGUAUCAGAAAAAAAAUUGUCAGGUAUCAGAAAAAAAAUUGUCAGGUGUCAGAAAAAAAAUUGUCAGGUGUCAGUUGUCAAAAAAAAAAAAGUCAGGUAUCAGAAAAAAAAUUGUCAGGUGUCAGAAAAAAAAUUGUCAGGUGUCAGUUGUCAAAAAAAAAAAAAGUCAGGUAUCAGAAAAAAAAUUGUCAGGUGUCAGAAAAAAAAUUGUCAGGUGUCAGUUGUCAAAAAAAAAAAAGUCAGGUAUCAGAAAAAAAAUUUCAGGUAUCAGAAAAAAAAUUGUCAGGUGUCAGAAAAAAAGUUGUCAGGUGUCAGAAAAAAAAUUGUCAGGUGUCAGAAAAAAAGUUGUCAGGUGUCAGAAAAAAAUUUUUCUGGCAUAUUCAUAUAAAGGAUUUUUUUUUUUAAAGUAAGAAGCCUUACAUUGUUUCUUUAAUAGUCCAAUUUUUCUUUAAUAUGUUGGUUCUUGCACACCUACAAAAUUCCCAAACAUGUUGUAAGUUUAGGCUUUACAAACUGAAAGUUUCUAUUAUUUUAUUAGUCUGUACCACUUGCUUAAGUGGAAUG
Molecule: long non-coding RNA, 675 nt
Organism: Astatotilapia calliptera (eastern happy)
Lineage: Eukaryota; Metazoa; Chordata; Actinopteri; Cichliformes; Cichlidae
Source: Ensembl